AUUGAACGCUGGCGGCAGGCCUAACACAUGCAAGUCGAGCGGAUGAAGGGAGCUUGCUCCUGGAUUCAGCGGCGGACGGGUGAGUAAUGCCUAGGAAUCUGCCUGGUAGUGGGGGAUAACGUCCGGAAACGGGCGCUAAUACCGCAUACGUCCUGAGGGAGAGAGUGGGGGAUCUUCGGACCUCACGCUAUCAGAUGAGCCUAGGUCGGAUUAGCUAGUUGGUGGGGUAAAGGCCUACCAAGGCGACGAUCCGUAACUGGUCUGAGAGGAUGAUCAGUCACACUGGAACUGAGACACGGUCCAGACUCCUACGGGAGGCAGCAGUGGGGAAUAUUGGACAAUGGGCGAAAGCCUGAUCCAGCCAUGCCGCGUGUGUGAAGAAGGUCUUCGGAUUGUAAAGCACUUUAAGUUGGGAGGAAGGGCAGUAAGUUAAUACCUUGCCGUUUUGACGUUACCAACAGAAUAAGCACCGGCUAACUUCGUG
This 484-nucleotide ribosomal RNA is filed under the name uncultured bacterium. RNAcentral's name for it is "partial 16S ribosomal RNA". It matches the Rfam family "Bacterial small subunit ribosomal RNA", at positions 30 to 507 of the family's 1533-position model. The record is from RNAcentral.